Molecule: non-coding RNA, 312 nt
Organism: Vicia faba (fava bean)
Lineage: Eukaryota; Viridiplantae; Streptophyta; Magnoliopsida; Fabales; Fabaceae
Source: the annotation of a GenBank genome assembly
AUGAAUCCAUAUUUUUUCUUCCCUGCCUCCACCGAUCUAACAAACAACCAACAAUAUUACUCCUUUUUUUCGGAAAUACUCCCUCCGUCCUCUCAAUCCUUCCGCGGCGGCACACCACACUUCCUCCGUCCUUUUGCUCAAUCCGUCCUCCGUCUCUUACGCAUACUUCCUCUGUUUCAUCCGCUCUUCACACGAAUCAAAAACAACAAUUCGGAAUGGAGGGUUGAGAUUGAGAGUUUGAUAAAGUUUGGAUUGAAUUUGUUUUGGGAAAUUUGUGAAAUUGAAGAAAAAAACGCAGGAAGAUUUGGUUGA